Molecule: ribosomal RNA, 253 nt
Filed under: uncultured bacterium
Lineage: Bacteria
Description: partial 16S ribosomal RNA
Rfam family: Bacterial small subunit ribosomal RNA
Source: RNAcentral
UACGUAGGGUGCGAGCGUUGUCCGGAAUUAUUGGGCGUAAAGAGCUCGUAGGCGGUUUGUUGCGUCGGCUGUGAAAUCCCGAGGCUCAACCUCGGGUCUGCAGUCGAUACGAGCAAACUAGAGUGUUGCAGGGGGGACUGGAAUUCCUGGUGUAGCGGUGAAAUGCGUAGAUAUCUGGAGGAACACCGGUGGCGAAGGCGGCGUUCUGGACUGUCUCUGACACUGAAGAACGAAAGCCAGGGGAGCAAACGGG